Molecule: ribosomal RNA, 497 nt
Filed under: uncultured bacterium
Lineage: Bacteria
Description: partial 16S ribosomal RNA
Rfam family: Bacterial small subunit ribosomal RNA
Source: RNAcentral
GAUGAACGCUGGCGGCGUGCCUAAUACAUGCAAGUCGAGCGAACGGACGAGAAGCUUGCUUCUCUGAUGUUAGCGUCGGACGGGUGAGUAACACGUUGAUAACCUACCUAUAAGACUUGGAUAACUUCGGGAAACCGGAGCUAAUACCGUUUAAUAUUUUUAACCGCAUUUUUCAAAAGUGAAAGACGGUCUUGCUGUCACUUAUCGAUGGAUCCGCGCUGCAUUAGCUAGUUGGUAAGGUAACGGCUUACCAAGGCAACGAUGCAUAGCCGACCUGGAAGGGUGAUCGGCCACGCUGGAAAUGGAAGACGGUCCAGACUCCUAGGGGAGGCAGCAGUAGGGAAUCUUCAGCAAUGGGCGAAAGCCUGACGGAGCAACGCAGCGUGAGGGAUGAGGGACUUCGGAUCGUAAAACUCUGUUAUUAGGGAAGAACAUAUGUGUAAGUAACUGUGCACAUAUUGACGGUACCUAAUCAGAAAGCCACGGCUAACUACGUG